This 311-nucleotide ribosomal RNA is filed under the name uncultured Megasphaera sp. Its description in RNAcentral is "bacterial SSU rRNA". It matches the Rfam family "Bacterial small subunit ribosomal RNA", at positions 225 to 525 of the family's 1533-position model. Lineage: Bacteria; Bacillati; Bacillota; Negativicutes; Veillonellales; Veillonellaceae. The record is from RNAcentral.
AGGGGUUUGCGUCUGAUUAGCUGGUUGGAGGGUAACGGCCCAACCAAGGCGACGAUCAGUAGCCGGUCUGAGAGGAUGAACGGCCACAUUGGGACUGAGACACGGCCCAGACUCCUACGGGAGGCAGCAGUGGGGGAAUCUUCCGCAAUGGACGAAAGUCUGACGGAGCAACGCCGCGUAAGUGAAGAAGGUCUUCGGAUUGUAAAGCUCUGUUAUACGGGACGAAAAAGACGGAUGCCAACAGUAUCCGUCCGUGACGGUACCGUAAGAGAAAGCCACGGGCUAACUACGUGCCAGCAGCCGCGGUAAAU